GGGCCAAUUAUACCCUUACCGUUAUACUUUGGGCCAAAUAUACCCUUGAGUAUAACGGCAUGCCACGUGUCAGUCUAUCAUUGGCCAACUUAUUUCCCUUUUUAUUUUUUAUCAUCCGGAUCAUGAUCAUACAGAUCCGACCCAAAUCCAUUUAGUAUCCGACCCGUCACUAACUUAUCACACCCAAAUAAACAUAAACCUAACAGAUCUAACGCCUCUCUCUCUCUCUAAAAAAAAUGCAAACCUCUAUCAUCUUCAACCUCCAUAGCUGACUUCUCUAUUGGAAAUCCUAGGUUUUUCAUGAUCCGAAUUCAGUCCAUUUAAAGGCUCAAGAAGGGACUGCUUGAUGCAGUAAAGAAUGUAUUGCCUGAAGCACAUCAGAGAUUUUGUGUAAAGCACAUUGAGGCAAAUUGGUGCAAAAGGUGGAGUAAAGGUGAGUUGAAGAAGCUUCUGUGGUGGGGUGCAUGGUCCUCUUAUGCUGAGGAGUUUGGAGACCAACUUGAACAGAUGAAGCAGUUGGAUAAACCUGCUGCAAAGGACUGUGUUGAAAUGUGCAGAAACUGUGUUGGUUAUGUGCAGAAACUGGUUAAAUGUGAAGAAAAAUGAGGCAAAUGGAGCCGAGUUUAGAAAACUGAAAGAGGAAAUAUGAUAACCAAAAUGCUUUCAUUUGGUCAAUAGUAUUUGUGUGCUUGUGUUGUUGUAAUAUGGUAGAAAGCAAAUGUACCCUUAAGGCACGAACACAUGUAAUUGUCGUGGGGAAAAAUACCUUUUACUUUUUUGUGUAAUGGAUGGUAAUGUAUAAAUGAAUUCGUACCAAUGUUAUCUGGUGUUAUUCAUGCUA
Lycium barbarum (goji berry) is the source of this 841-nucleotide long non-coding RNA. RefSeq lists it as uncharacterized. The transcript has 2 exons. Lineage: Eukaryota; Viridiplantae; Streptophyta; Magnoliopsida; Solanales; Solanaceae. The record is from RefSeq and is a predicted model, not a curated record.